GACGAACCGUACGAACGUUAUUCGGAAUCACUGGGCUUUAAGGGCGUGUAGGCGGACCGGCGCGUCCCGUGUGAAAGCCCCCUGGCUCAACUGGGGGAGGUCAUGGGAAACGGUCGGACUGGAGCCCGGUAGGGGGCCAUGGAAUUCCCGGUGUAGUGGUGGAAUGCGUAGAGAUCGGGAGGAACACCUGUGGCGAAGGCGGUGGCCUGGACCGGUGCUGACGCUGAGGCGCGAAGGCGUGGGGAGCGAUCCGG
RNAcentral lists this ribosomal RNA (254 nucleotides) under uncultured bacterium. RNAcentral describes it as "partial 16S ribosomal RNA". It matches the Rfam family "Bacterial small subunit ribosomal RNA", at positions 524 to 776 of the family's 1533-position model. The record is from RNAcentral.